GGUCUAGUGAGUGAUUUUUAUUAACUGUCUUUUUGUUUCAGAGAGACAAGAGAUCGGUUUUUGUGGGGAAUCUCCCUUAUAAAGUUGAAGAAUCUGCCAUUGAGAAGCACUUUCUGGACUGUGGAAGUAUCAUGGCCGUGAGGAUUGUGAGAGACAAAAUGACAGGCAUCGGCAAAGGGUUUGGCUAUGUGCUCUUUGAGAAUACAGAUUCUGUUCAUCUUGCUCUGAAAUUAAAUAAUUCUGAACUCAUGGGGAGAAAACUCAGAGUCAUGCGUUCUGUUAAUAAAGAAAAAUUUAAACAACAAAAUUCAAAUCCACGAUUGAAGAAUGUCAGUAAACCUAAGCAGGGACUUAAUUUUACUUCCAAAACUGCAGAAGGACAUCCUAAAAGCUUAUUUAUUGGAGAAAAAGCUGUUCUCCUUAAAACGAAGAAGAAAGGACAGAAGAAAAGUGGACGCCCUAAGAAACAGAGAAAACAGAAAUAACAACCAGGAACUGCUUUUUCUUUUCCUGCUGAGUACUGCUAAUAAAAGUGCUAUUAUCUGCUGA
RNAcentral lists this long non-coding RNA (549 nucleotides) under Homo sapiens (human). Its description in RNAcentral is "non-protein coding lnc-TOMM20-4:3". Lineage: Eukaryota; Metazoa; Chordata; Mammalia; Primates; Hominidae. The record is from RNAcentral.